GCGCCACACAAUCCGUUAAUUCGCAACGGGCACUGAUUGUGAAGUGAUGUUGGAAACAAGAGGUUCAUACAAUAACGAAAAUUUAACAACACAAAGAUAUAGAAAGAAAAUAAAGAAACUCAAUAGAUGCAGUCAACUUCGAAAAGGUAUGAGUUGGAUGAUCUUCAGCAGCUUCCUUCAAGAUGGUAUGGUAAGGAAUGGAUAUCCAGUGGUAUUGAAGUUAUUAAAAUGUGCUCAGAAUUUUAGGACCAAGAAUUUCAUUAAAAAAAAAAUGGUUCCCCCCCCCCAAACUUUCCAAAAUGUCUAUCUACGCUGAUUUACACUCGUCGUUGCUUUUCUUCACCAACGGCGGAGAGAAUUGUCACCAAAACCAAAGAGACCGAGUUUUCAAAACCCGUCCGAAUUUAUACUCGACUC
Onthophagus taurus is the source of this 417-nucleotide non-coding RNA. The record is from RefSeq and is a predicted model, not a curated record. NCBI's taxonomy places the organism in Eukaryota, Metazoa, Arthropoda, Insecta, Coleoptera, Scarabaeidae.